This 91-nucleotide ribosomal RNA is filed under the name Neobacillus bataviensis. Lineage: Bacteria; Bacillati; Bacillota; Bacilli; Caryophanales; Bacillaceae. The record is from RNAcentral.
CACCCGUUCCCAUACCGAACACGGAAGUUAAGCUUCUCAGCGCCGAUGGUAGUUGGGGCAUUGCCCCUGUGAGAGUAGGACGUUGCCAGGC